AACGUAGGAGACAAACGUUAUCCGGAGUUACUGGGCGUAAAGGGCGUGUAGGCGGUAUGUUAAGUCUGGCGUGAAAGCUCUCGGCUAAACCGGGAGAGGUCGUUGGAUACUGGCAAACUAGAGGAUGGUAGAGGCGUGUGGAAUUCCGGGUGUAGUGGUGAAAUGCGUAGAGAUCCGGGGGAACACCAGUGGCGAAGGCGACACGCUGGGCCAUACCUGACGCUAAAGCGCGACAGCAUGGGGAGCAAACGGG
This 253-nucleotide ribosomal RNA is filed under the name uncultured bacterium. RNAcentral's name for it is "partial 16S ribosomal RNA". It matches the Rfam family "Bacterial small subunit ribosomal RNA", at positions 524 to 776 of the family's 1533-position model. The record is from RNAcentral.